CGUAUCACUUAAAGCGAUUCAGCGGGUUACGAUUGACGGAGCGAAGCGACGUCAAAGCGUAUACAAAGUCGAGUCGGUUUAAGGAUACGUUCGUUGGGUAGGGGAGCGUUCUGUAAGCCUGUGAAGGUGGCCUGUGAGGGUUGCUGGAGGUAUCAGAAGUGCGAAUGCUGACAUAAGUAACGAUAAAGCGGGUGAAAAGCCCGCUCGCCGGAAGACCAAGGGUUCCUGUCCAACGUUAAUCGGGGCAGGGUGAGUCGACCCCUAAGGCGAGGCCGAAAGGCGUAGUCGAUGGGAAACAGGUUAAUAUUCCUGUACUUGGUGUUACUGCGAAGGGGGGACGGAGAAGGCUAUGUUGGCCGGGCGACGGUUGUCCCGGUUUAAGCGUGUAGGUGUGUGUUCCAGGUAAAUCCGGUUCACUUUAACACUGAGGCGUGAUGACGAGGCACUACGGUGCUGAAGCAACAAAUGCCCUGCUUCCAGGAAAAGCCUCUAAGCAUCAGGUAACAUCAAAUCGUACCCCAAACCGACACAGGUGGUCAGGUAGAGAAUACCAAGGCGCUUGAGAGAACUCGGGUGAAGGAACUAGGCAAAAUGGUGCCGUAACU
This 605-nucleotide ribosomal RNA is filed under the name Salmonella enterica subsp. enterica serovar Isangi. RNAcentral describes it as "partial 23S ribosomal RNA". It matches the Rfam family "Bacterial large subunit ribosomal RNA", at positions 1154 to 1735 of the family's 2925-position model. The record is from RNAcentral. Lineage: Bacteria; Pseudomonadati; Pseudomonadota; Gammaproteobacteria; Enterobacterales; Enterobacteriaceae.